Molecule: transfer RNA, 64 nt
Filed under: bovine gut metagenome
Rfam family: tRNA
About the family: Transfer RNA (tRNA) molecules are approximately 80 nucleotides in length. Their secondary structure includes four short double-helical elements and three loops (D, anti-codon, and T loops). Further hydrogen bonds mediate the characteristic L-shaped molecular structure. tRNAs have two regions of fundamental functional importance: the anti-codon, which is responsible for specific mRNA codon recognition, and the 3' end, to which the tRNAs corresponding amino acid is attached (by aminoacyl-tRNA synthetases). tRNAs cope with the degeneracy of the genetic code in two manners: having more than one tRNA (with a specific anti-codon) for a particular amino acid; and 'wobble' base-pairing, i.e. permitting non-standard base-pairing at the 3rd anti-codon position.
Source: RNAcentral
UGCUAUGGCUCAGGUGGUAGAGCGUCGCCUUGGUAAGGCGGAGGUCACGGGUUCAAAUCCCGUU